AUCGCAUCCCACCCAUUCCCCUCGUCCUCAUCCUCUGCUCUUUGGAAUCCCUCUACUUGGAGUGGUGGCUUCCAGACGGAAAGGGUUUCGAUUCGAUUCGAUCGAGCGGGACGGGAGGAUCGGCGCCGGAGCCGGAGGAGAGAGAGGGAGAGCCCAUUUCCUCCUCUCCCCGCGCACCAUCUUAUCUCGAGUAAGCAAGCAUGCCGACUCCGACGAGUUCAUUCAUCAUCAGUCUACUAAAGCCAAAGCGUGCUCCUUUGUUGUGUUUUUGCGCCCGUGCGCGCUGUUUUUAGCGCCGGCAGGCUUUUUUCGGCCCUCCCAUUUUCGUCCCGCGUUUCGCUGUCCGCUUUCCAGCAGAUUCAUCAUCCUCAUUCGGUCAUUCCUCCUCCUUCCUGUUGCCAAUAUUUUUCUUUUUUUUAAAAAAAUUGAAUCUUUAAUAUCCCGUUGUUAGAUUGCAUCCUAAUCCUCUCUAGGGAUUUCCGCGCUCUUCUAGCCUCCACAUUUUGUCCCCUUCCGCUUCGAUUCUGCAACCGCUGGCUUACGGUGAUCGUCAUGCAUCCGAUCCUUGAGGUCCCCCCUUUACCAACCCUCCUCAGAUUCUUUUCAUUGUUUUUCUUUUCUUUUCAUUUCCUUCCUGCGCGUGCGGUGUUUCAGAUUAAUUAUCUGCAAUCUUGGCCGGAGAUACGCCCGCCACUGUUAAAAUUUCUCUAGCUUUACUUUCCGGAUUGCCUGCUUAUUUCCUGCUUAGUAACUUAAACUCGCUCAGAAGCCCCACAAAUUUCUGCCGAGUUUGAUUUCUUUUUGGUUAGUUAGACCUACCGGAUUAGUGGAAAAUUUCUUCGCUUGAUUUAGUGCUGUUAAUCACUAUGGGCAAAACUCCAUAAGCGUCCAUUUUUGUCAUGGACGGCUGCGAGUUCUUAUUGGACUCUAGUAUAUAGCUUCAUGCUUAACUUAUGGCGAUACCAGUCGCUUUAUUGCAGAUUAAGUAACGGACUAGGUGUUGCAUGAGGGCCUUGUUUGCUUCCACUUGUGAUGCUAUGUUGUCAUAGCCUUAUAGGGCAAUUUGAUUCCACAUUUCAAAUUGGUUAGUUCCUGUACAUGUAUCCAACUAUGAGAAUGUUAUCUGCUACCAUCACCUGUCAUAUGUGACACAUUGUUCAUCGAAACUGUCAAUAUAGAAACAGCAUUCAAAAGGUACACAAAACUGCUAAUUUCAUGCUGUCCAUGUGCUCUAGUUUGAUAACUUUUCAAUGUCUCCACUUCACGAAUUAUGUAUUUGCCGGCCUCAUCCACCAACUUAAUAACAUACCCUAGAGUGUCUCAGUUUUUUUCUUUUUCUGAAAUUUUUUUACUUCCUGAUUGCUGUGUUUUUGCUUAUUGACAAUUGUGUGGCGAUUCUACCUGCUCAAGAGACCGUCAGCUUGCUUCUUUACCUCCUUAAAUCUAGUUGAUCAGAACAAAGAGAAAUCUUUAUGAUGCUGCUGAUAUGCUACAUCAUCUCAAUAGAAAUGUAUGUUAUUAAACUCAUGUGAUCACAGAUUUUCUGAGAAAUGCCGUGUGCACUUGAAGUAUUUGACACAAGGGUACAAAGUACAUCACAUAUUCAGUGCAACAGGUCGUUCGACCAAAAUAUUGGCAGACACUUUUCAAAGGGUCGUCUGAUAUGCAAACCUGUUUCUGUUCAUCCGGGGAACAGGGACACUGCAUUAACAGUACUUCCGCUUGGGCAUGAUUCAGAUUGGAAACCAGCACCAUUUUUUUCUGGCAUUCAAGAGGUCAACAAGGUAAUCUCUUUGACGUCAGGAGAUCUAGGUACAGAAGGCCUUGAGUUAUUAUCUGCACAGCCAAUACUACCAUGUUGCUUGGGCCAGCUGAAUGAAAGAAACAUGCAUGAUCAGGCUGAUUCUUCUAAACCAGUUUCCAAUGGAAGCCCACACAGAGGAAGCACCUUAAGUCAAUCUCGGCAAAGGAAAACCAUCAGCAGUUCAUCGGUAGCAGUCCCCCCCUGCCAUGUGGUUGCAAAGAAGUUCCCCCGGCCUGUCGCUACUAUUCUGAGGCCUGAUUCUGAUAUUUUGCAUGAUGAUGACAAACCUUCAAAAAGGAGUUAUAAUAAGAAAGGAAACAAGAAAGGGAAACAGUACGGGCGAACGACCCGUAAAAAGCUGAAUUUGGCAUCAGAAAGCACUUUUGAAGAGAAUACUUACGGUGUUUCUCCUACGGAGGUACUUCCGACCAAUUUACUGGUUGAUAAGUUGUCAGAGAUUACAUCCUCUGCUAGCCUUUUGGUUAAAAAAGCCCAUUUGGGUGGUGAGAACAACAAUGACUCUGUGAAAUGUGGUACUAUGUUGAAUUUGUCUACACUAGGAACUGAUGAGAUGGAUGGCUCUGAAUGUGCUGGCUCAUCUAAUGACGCUGCAGGAGGGAGAUUAAGCUGCACUUGUGUUCCUUACUUGAAUGAUGAAUCAAAUACUACUGAUUCUUCAGACUUUGACGGGUCCACUUUCAUGGAACAUGGUUUGGGAGAAGAAAGCAAAAGCUGCCAGAAGUUUCCAUGUGCCUAUGUUUAUAACCCCGAUUAUGCCACUACAGAUUCCUUCUUUGGCAAGUGGAGCAAUGACAAUAGUGGGAACUACUGUGUCAAUGUUGAGGCCAGGUUAACUCUGAACGAUGAAAAUAGUCUUGAUCAUUCUCAACCGGUGGCUUCCACAGGUCUGAAUGAUGUGAGUAAGUGCCAGUUGAUAAGGCCACAUCUUAGUGCUACUCAUACUGAAGGUACCAACUAUCCUUUAGAGAGCAGAUCUUGUUCGUCUAAGGAUGUUACUGAUAGUUGUAGUCAUACUGAAAGAGUUCAGUGCAGCAGUGAGGCCUGCAGCAGUAAGGACUCUCUUCAAAUUUGUUCAGGGAGCAGGAACAGAAGAUCAAGAAAAACAACGAGCUACAGUGAUUUUACUGCGUCUAACAGAGUAAUCGGUGCUAAUAGGAACAAGAAUAAUGGAAAAAAUAGUUUGUCUGUAUGGCAGAAAGUAGAAAGAAAUGACAAGAUCAUAUCUAAAGCAGGACAUUCAAGUAAUCCACCUAUUCAGCAAAAGAGUGCACACGAGGACAGUAACAAGGGUGUACAGGAAGAUACAACAAGAAAUCGGGCAAAGCAUAAUCAGAAUAGGAAAGCAUGCAAACAUGAGUCCCCAAAUGGGACACUUGAACUGGAGUCUACCAAAGAAGAACAAGAUGCAUUGGGCUCAUGCCAAACAUUUUCCAAACUCAUCUACAAGAAGCAAGCGCCCUUCCUACGCAGCUCUUCUUCAAAACAAGGUUCUCAGUCAUCGAAAAACUACUAUGCUCCUAGGAACAGUAUCCCCAAGGUGCCAAAGGAUUCCCUGCAGCAAGAAGCAUUGCCUACGCUGCUGCUAGUUCAGGCCAAUGACAUCGGUGGUAGAUCAACCUCAAAUUCUUGUUCGGCUGACAAAGUUGUUCAAACUGGAGAUAGCAGCAACUAUCCAACUGAGGGAAAUAAGAGUUCACAAUCUAGUAUUGAUGUAGCUGCAUCAGUAUCUUCCAACUUGUUUCCAGAUUUGACACUACGAGCUGCUUCUGAUGGUGCCCACAUAUCAGAUCUUUACUCUUUAUGUCCUCAAGACAAGGGCACAUACACUAGUUGGAGCUCCAAGAACUCGUGUACAGAUCGUUGCACUGCAGAAACUGAGGAAGCUCGAUCUGUGAAGCUAACAACGGAGAAUAAUUCUCAAGAAUCCUGUCAGUGGUAUUCUGCUGCUGGACACCUGUCACAGAAAUGGGUUCCUGUUGGAAAGAAAGAGGCGUCUAAUGUGAUCCAUUUAGAUGUCUCAGAGGCUUCUGUUGUCAAAGGUAUAGUUCCAGCUAAUGAUAUUUCCGAUUCAGUUGGUCCUGUAUCAACCAAUGGUGGAGAUAGCAAAUUAGCUAGUGAAAUGACUUCUAAACUGAGCUCAUCUGAACACGCUGAUUUAAAAAGGCAAGCAUAUGAUGGAAUUGAGACUGGUUGCAACAAGAUAAAAGAAGCCAUCAGUUAUGUUUUCACAGCACAGCGACGAGCAGAAGACAUCCAACAUCGCAUUGGUAGGCUUCUUGCAGAUUUUGAACAUUUUGUUAGCUCUGCUUCUCCAGUUGUGCACCGUAACCCUUGCCCUGCUGGCUGUAAAUUUUACUUGCAAGAAUCUGUGGAGGAUGGUUUAUGUUUCCAUCAGACUCCAGACAUCACUCUAAGAACUGUCUGGAGGUGGUACGAAGAACCUGGCUGCUAUGGUUUGGAAGUGAAGGCACAAGACUUCCGUAGAUCAAAAGGCUUGGGGAAUAGCCAUUGCCAGUUUACUACCUAUUUCGUGCCAUAUCUAUCUGCUGUUCAACUUUUCAAACAGACUAAAAGAACCAGUGGUGGAAGCAUUGUUAAGGAAACAAUGGAUGGGGAUAUGACGUGCGAAACAUCUCCGCAUCUUUCUUUCAAAAAAGAAGAAACAUCUCCGCAUCAGAACCUGCCACCUAUCUUUGCAAAGCUUCUGCCACAACAAUCUAAUCCAAUAAACAGAUCAUCUACCUUUCACACUGAAGACGAUCGACAGUUAGUCAAUGGCGAGCUCAUAUUUGAAUUUUUUGAAUCUGAACAACCAUACUCGCGGCGACAGUUAUUUGACAAGGUAAAUGAGCUGAUUGCUGGUGCGAAACCUGUGAAUUGCCAAAUUUUUGGAGACCCAAAGAGUUUGGAGCUGAGCCUGCAUGAUCUCCAUCCAGCCUCUUGGUCUGUUAUAAGCUCUCUACUUAUAUCGGUAUUGUGUCGCAUGGUAUCCCAUAUACCGUAUACCAGAUGGUAAAUUGCAGGCUGCAUUCUUGACAUAUCAUUCUCUUGGGCACUGGAUUGGUCGGAUUAGCUCAGCAGACGAGGCUGUUAUUUUGCCUGUCAUAGGCCUGCAGUCUUACAAUGACAAGGCGGAGCGGUGGUUUGAGAUGAGCAAACCCGGUUCAGAAGCUGGUGGGCCACCAGAGGAUGGACAGUGUGGUGAAGCGCCCCAGGUUCUGAAGCAGAGGGUGCGUGCUCUGAAUGAUGCUGCAGCGGUGAUGUCCAGGGCCAACGUGGCCAAGAGUGGGCAGAUGACUAGAAACAGGCACCCAGAUUACGAGUUCUUCCUCUCACGCUACCGAUAGCUCCGUCCUGGAGCAGCGACUGGAGCUGUGUACGUCGCAGAUCUAGCUCUGGGAACUAGGUGAACUAUGGUACUCUUUGUCUGUAUAUAUAUUAGCAGUGAUCUGUGGAAGAUAGCAGAGGGAGUGAGUUUUGUCGGAUUUAGGGUGAUGUGUACAUAUGAAAACAACCACCACUAGUGCAGUUAGUUUUGACUGUUAGUAUAUAUUAUCAUGAGUGAGGAGAAA
This is an RNA transcript of Panicum hallii, 5397 nucleotides long. RefSeq lists it as uncharacterized. The record is from RefSeq and is a predicted model, not a curated record. NCBI's taxonomy places the organism in Eukaryota, Viridiplantae, Streptophyta, Magnoliopsida, Poales, Poaceae. The transcript has 6 exons.